CUCGGCACAUCUCGUAACGUCACUACUGGCUGCUGUUGACCUUGUUUUUGGAGUAAAACACGGUGGAAGCUGAAUUAGUGAGGAUGACUCCUGCUCCUGUCAUCUCUAAGCUCCUCACACAUCUUUACCUGCACAUGAGGAAAAUCACUCCUGUAGAAUGCAGGUAUGUUUGUCAUUAUUAUAAAAAGAUGUUGCCUGGUGACCUGUCAGAAACCCAUUAUACAGAGUCAGCCAAAAUAAUGUUUACACACAUCAGGAAAAGAAAAACUUGCAUAAAUAUUUCAAUACCAAAUUUAUUCAGACAUCACGAGAUUAAUAAAAGUUAUCUUUGGCCUCUACAAUUACAAGAGGUGCUCAAAGUGGUGGCCACUGGCUUCCAGACAUUUCUGUUGUGUUGUAGACGUCACUUGUUGAUGCUCCAUUCAUGAGGGUAGCGCCAUCUGUUGGGAAAACAUCGUACAACAAGACACAGAGUUAUCGUGAUUUGAUCAAACUUAGAAAGAGGUAUCUAUAUGUAUAGAAGUACUUAUACAAAUGAAAUAUUUAUAAAAGUUUUUCUUUUCCUGAUGUGUGUACAUUAUUUUGGCUGACUGAACUUAAUGAGAACAAAACUGUCAUUUAAUUGUUGCUUUGAAAGCUGCUUUAGUGAAAACCAGCUGGUGUUCUGCUUUGAAACAAACUGCUGUUGAGGUCUGUGUUUUUAGGUUUAACCCCACAGUUUCUGAAUGAACUGAUAGUUUGUUUUUUUCCUGAUCAAUGUGGACGUUAUAAUUGAUGGUAACAUUUACUGAUCAUAUAAUCAGCAUGACAAUAUAACAGUAUAACAUUCUGACCACCUGACUAAUACUGUGUUGGUCCCUUUAUGCAGCUAAAACUCCUCUGAUCCAGUGGUUCAUCAGAACCUCUGGGGAUGUCCUGUGGAUUCUGUGGAUCCUGUGGGUUGCAGGGUGGGUCCUACCUAGACCAGGCUGAUCCUGGACCAUCCCACAGAUGCUCAAUCAGAUCUGGAUGUGGGGAGUGUGGAACCCAGAUGUUCAGAGGGAGAUGAUGCCACAUCUGGUCCAGCUGAUGGAAGGUCUUGAAGUUCUCUGACUGGCCUGGACUGAAGAUGGUCGUCUCACUGGAUUUAAGGUUCAGAUGCUCAGUAACAAACUCCACCAAUGUGCCAACAGGUAAACUUUCGGUUUAUUAAAUGUUGCUAUGAAGGUAUCGCUG
This is a long non-coding RNA of Amphiprion ocellaris (clown anemonefish), 1215 nucleotides long. RefSeq lists it as uncharacterized. Lineage: Eukaryota; Metazoa; Chordata; Actinopteri; Pomacentridae. The record is from RefSeq and is a predicted model, not a curated record. The transcript has 3 exons.